GACCGCGUAGCUCAGUUGGCAGAGCAUUUGGCUAGUAUUCCAAAGGUCGUAGGUUCGAUUCCCACCGUGGCCG
Molecule: transfer RNA, 73 nt
Filed under: Paramuricea clavata
Lineage: Eukaryota; Metazoa; Cnidaria; Anthozoa; Malacalcyonacea; Plexauridae
Rfam family: tRNA
About the family: Transfer RNA (tRNA) molecules are approximately 80 nucleotides in length.
Source: Rfam by way of RNAcentral